Molecule: ribosomal RNA, 784 nt
Filed under: uncultured organism
Description: bacterial SSU rRNA
Rfam family: Bacterial small subunit ribosomal RNA
Source: RNAcentral
AGAGGUAGCAGGAAUUUCUAGUGUAGGAGUGAAAUCUGUAGAUAUUAGAAAGAACACCAAAGGCGAAGGCAAGCUGCUGGGUACCGACUGACGCUAAUGCACGAAAGCCAGGGGGGCAAACGGGAUUAGAGACCCCGGUAGUCCUGGCCGUAAACGAUGUUCACCAGACUUAUGAUAUUUAUAUAUAUUAUGGGUUGAAGUUAACGCAUUAAGUGAACCGCCUGGGGAGUAUGCACGCAAGUGUGAAACUCAAAGGAAUUGACGGGGGCUCGCACAAGCGGUGGAGCAUGUGGUUUAAUUCGAUGAUAAGCGAAGAACCUUACCUGGGCUUAAACUUGUAGUGACCGUCUGUGAAAGCAGAUUUCUCUUCGGAGCACUAUGAGAGGUGCUGCAUGGCUGUCGUCAGCUCGUGUCGUGAGAUGUUGGGUUAAGUCCCGCAACGAGCGCAACCCUUAUCCUAUGUUGCUACGAUCUUUUGAUCAGGACUCUUAGGAGACUGCCGAGGUUAACUCGGAGGAAGGCGAGGAUGACGUCAAGUCCUCAUGGCCCUUAUGUCCAGGGCUACACACGUGCUACAAUGGGAAGUAUAAAGAGCAGCGAAGUCGCGAGGCGGAGCGAAUCUCAAAAAACUUCUCUCAGUUCAGAUCGCAGUCUGCAACUCGACUGCGUGAAGCUGGAAUCGCUAGUAAUCGCGGAUCAGAAUGCCGCGGUGAAUACGUUCUCGAGCCUUGUACACACCGCCCGUCACACCACCCGAGCUUAUUUUACCUGAAUCGCUGCGCUA